Non-coding RNA from Danio rerio (zebrafish), 2189 nucleotides. Lineage: Eukaryota; Metazoa; Chordata; Actinopteri; Cypriniformes; Danionidae. The record is from Ensembl.
CUGAAAUGAGUGUCGUGAAGUCUUCCGGUACAGACCGCAUUCUGAUAAAUCGCUUGACCCAGCAAGAUAGCCUUCGAAACGCGGAAGUUAAGUGGACUCGACUGAAAUACGGAAGAGACGACUGCCUAAACUAAAUAAACCACUAUUCAAAUUAGACACUGUUAUUUAUCACGUUAUCUCCAGCAGGCGCAUUUGGGUGCUCACUUCAAACAGUGCACUGGGGAAAGAGACGUUUCCUCGUCCAGUUUUAAGUACUUGGUUUGUCAUUAUACACAGAACUAUUUUGCAUUUAUUAUAUAAUCCAUUGGGUUUUGUGACGCAAAUGAUGUUACCUUGGAUGUUUGAUUAGCAUGCCAUGGGGCCAGAAAACAGAUGCUAAAUAUUAAGCAUGGCAUGCAAUUUUAUUUAAUCUGAAUCUAGAACAUGAAACUUAAUUGCUUUCUUUGCAAAGUGAGAGUCCACAUUUCAUGACUUCGAUGGGCCUGCUGUUUGGAGUGGGGCCCACUUAUCCUGAGGAGGGAGACAGGUGAAGAAUGGGGGUGAUGCACAGCUUUCACAAGGAAACACAUAGCUGUCCAUCUCCAUCUGGCUCUGUGCUUUCGCUCUGUGCUUUCGCUCUGUGCUUCUCCGCUGUUUCACAGAGAUUGUGGAGAACAGAUCCCUGCCAGGAGACCUGCCCUUUGUCACCUGCUCUGUACCUCUCAUAAAGGAUGAUAAUCCAUCUGGUGUGGAGGGGGAAAGAGAGGUGAAGUGCCCUUUGACCUUUUGAAGGAGAGUGGAGCCGCUUCAUACCUCAUGGUCCUCGGCCGAGCUUGUUUGAUCUGGACUCACCUCAGUUCACACGUCUCAGCUUCUGGCACCAACCCAGAAAGAGGAGGGAUGUGAUGUAGAGCUGGUCGGAAUUGACCAGUUUAUUGGAAGAGCCCGAACUCAAGUUUUGUGAAGACAUACAGUACCUCUGAAAGUGCACCUAAGAUGAAUGAGGUCACCAGCAAAUACUAUGACAAUGUGACAGGGUACAGAGGUAUCUGUGAAGUUCAACUUUGUGAUGGAUGAGAUGGUGUCUUUGCCUUGCGGCCUCAAAGGGAUUAGGCUGCUCAGGUGUUGUUUUUAAAAGACUUAGAAUUAGCUCACAUUUAAACAUUUAAACUGUCUUUUGACACCACUUUCACCACCUUUUUGGUAAAAAAGAAGAUUGCCCCCACCCUGCAUUGCAGUAAACCUUAAGAUUAUGUUUGGUUCAUGACAACAAAAUUAUUUUAAGUGAUAUUUAAAAUUGUACAUAUGCAACUUUGUAAAACUUUGGCAGAGAUUUAAUUCUUUGGUUAUUAAUUACUGUAAAUUUAUUCAUGAAGCUUUUCUUGACGCUUUGAGUUGCUCAGUUCCACUGGGAGCAGUAACCUCUGUUAGUCUUUUGAUUCAGCAGUCCACACUUUGGCCUCAUUGCAGCCUCAGGAGAAUAAACACUUAUGCUAGAUGUAAAGAGAUGUUUGAGAAGCAGACCACGUAAGUGCAACCCGAAGAAGAAUAAUUGCAUACUUCAGGAAUUCUAUAAACAUGAUCUAUGAGAUAAUAUCAUGCUUCAUAGGACUAAUUUGUUCAUUUGUAUUCUGUGGUGUUGCUGUGGUUGGCCUCUGUUUAAGAUCCCUUAAAGGGAUGUUUUUACUUAAAAUGUAACAGUCUGUCAUCAUUUAUCUACCAUUAUGCCAUUUUAUCAGUGUUUCUAAUGCAAAACGCCAUAAAGAGGUAUUAACUGUUUUUCUUCAUCCAGUAAAAAUCCAAAAACACCAUUGGAUAUUUUUGUUCCAAAUAUCUGCUAAUGUGUUGAUUGCUGAUAGAUUGACAAUGCCUUUAAGUUUUUUUUUCAUUAUAAAAUACAAUGCACAAUUUUUAUAUAUAGAUUUUUUUUUUAUUGUUGUUGUUAUUAUUAUUAUUUUUUUUUAUUAAUUUUUUUGGUGGGGUAGAUAUUUUUGUGUGUGUUGCUGUUUAUCUGUUUAUUUUGGUUAUUCUGCUGUAAUCUUACUACACCCUUAAAAUAUCUGCUUGAAACCCACCUGCAUAGGAAUAACAAAAGGGACCACCAAGAUUAAAUGCAAGGUUUCCAUGGUAACUAGUUGAAGGCUGACUGCACUGACUUUAAAUGCCUACACAGACAUUACAGUCUCAGUUAUAGACUAGCAGUAUGGGGG